GAUGAACGCUGGCGGUAUGCCUAACACAUGCAAGUCGUACGAGAGUUUUUAACUCUAGUGGCGGACGGGUGAGUAACACGUGAGAAUUUGCCUUUAGGAGGGGGAUAACAAUUGGAAACGAAUGCUAAUACCCCAUAUGCUUUUGAGUGAAACGGAUUUAUCCGCCUAGAGAGAAGCUCGCGGCUGAUUAGCUUGUUGGUAAGGUAAGAGCUUACCAAGGCGACGAUCAGUAUCUGGUUUGAGAGGACGAUCAGACACACUGGAACUGAGACACGGUCCAGACUCCUACGGGAGGCAGCAGUGGGGAAUUUUCCGCAAUGGGCGAAAGCCUGACGGAGCAAUACCGCGUGAGGGAAGACUGCCUAUGGUUGUAAACCUCUUUUUCAGGGUAGGAAUAAAUGACGUGUACCUGAAGAAUAAGCAUCGGCUAACUCCGUG
Molecule: ribosomal RNA, 438 nt
Filed under: uncultured bacterium
Lineage: Bacteria
Description: bacterial SSU rRNA
Rfam family: Bacterial small subunit ribosomal RNA
Source: RNAcentral